GGCGGAGGGAAGCUCAUCGCUGGGGCCACGAGCUGAGUGCCUUCUGUCACUCUACCCCAUGUCCCCUGGGAAGGUCUGAGACUAGGGCCAUAUAAGCGACCCUAACAGGGUCCUCCCUGAGUUUCGGGGAGGUGAGUUCCCAGAGAACGGGGCUCCGCGCGAGGGCAGACUGGGCAGGAGAUGCCAUGGACCCCGCCCUUCGGGGCGGGGCCUGGCGGAUGCCUCCUUAGCCGGAGCUUGGAACAGACUCACGGCCAGCGAAGUGAGUUCAAUGGCUGAGGUGAGGUACCCUCCUCGGGGGCCUCAUAACCCAAUUCAGACUACUCUCCCCCGCC
This 335-nucleotide RNase P RNA is filed under the name Zalophus californianus (California sea lion). Its description in RNAcentral is "Nuclear RNase P (ENSZCAG00015007186.1)". It matches the Rfam family "Nuclear RNase P". Rfam says of the family: Ribonuclease P (RNase P) is a ubiquitous endoribonuclease, found in archaea, bacteria and eukarya as well as chloroplasts and mitochondria. Its best characterised activity is the generation of mature 5'-ends of tRNAs by cleaving the 5'-leader elements of precursor-tRNAs. Cellular RNase Ps are ribonucleoproteins. Lineage: Eukaryota; Metazoa; Chordata; Mammalia; Carnivora; Otariidae. The record is from RNAcentral.